RNAcentral lists this ribosomal RNA (304 nucleotides) under Ocenebra erinaceus. Its description in RNAcentral is "eukaryotic LSU rRNA". It matches the Rfam family "Eukaryotic large subunit ribosomal RNA", at positions 1 to 300 of the family's 3401-position model. Lineage: Eukaryota; Metazoa; Mollusca; Gastropoda; Neogastropoda; Muricidae. The record is from RNAcentral.
CGACCUCAGAUCGGACGAGAUUACCCGCUGAAUUUAAGCAUAUCACUAAGCGGAGGAAAAGAAACUAACAAGGAUUCCCUCAGNAACGNCGAGUGAAGCGGGACCAGCCCAGCACCGAAUCCCCCAGCAUCUCGCUGGCGGGAACUGUGGUGUAUGGGACGCCAACUGUCGUCUCCCCGGUGGCCGAAGUCCUCCUGAUCGGGGCCUCUCCCAGAGCGGGUGUCAGGCCUUUACUGCGCUGGCGGGUCGGCUGCGAGCGUCUCCGGAGUCGGGUUGUUUGGGAAUGCNGCCCAAAGCGGGUGGU